Molecule: ribosomal RNA, 538 nt
Filed under: Clostridium butyricum
Lineage: Bacteria; Bacillati; Bacillota; Clostridia; Eubacteriales; Clostridiaceae
Description: bacterial SSU rRNA
Rfam family: Bacterial small subunit ribosomal RNA
Source: RNAcentral
UCCGCGGACGGGUGAGUAACACGUGGGUAACCUGCCUCAUAGAGGGGAAUAGCCUUUCGAAAGGAAGAUUAAUACCGCAUAAGAUUGUAGUACCGCAUGGUACAGCAAUUAAAGGAGUAAUCCGCUAUGAGAUGGACCCGCGUCGCAUUAGCUAGUUGGUGAGGUAACGGCUCACCAAGGCGACGAUGCGUAGCCGACCUGAGAGGGUGAUCGGCCACAUUGGGACUGAGACACGGCCCAGACUCCUACGGGAGGCAGCAGUGGGGAAUAUUGCACAAUGGGGGAAACCCUGAUGCAGCAACGCCGCGUGAGUGAUGACGGCCUUCGGGUUGUAAAACUCUGUCUUUGGGGACGAUAAUGACGGUACCCAAGGAGGAAGCCACGGCUAACUACGUGCCAGCAGCCGCGGUAAUACGUAGGUGGCAAGCGUUGUCCGGAUUUACUGGGCGUAAAGGGAGCGUAGGUGGAUAUUUAAGUGGGAUGUGAAAUACUCGGGCUUAACCUGGGUGCUGCAUUCCAAACUGGAUAUCUAGAGUGC